RNAcentral lists this ribosomal RNA (492 nucleotides) under uncultured bacterium. RNAcentral's name for it is "partial 16S ribosomal RNA". It matches the Rfam family "Bacterial small subunit ribosomal RNA", at positions 30 to 507 of the family's 1533-position model. The record is from RNAcentral.
AGUGAACGCUGGCGGUAGGCUUAACACAUGCAAGUCGAACGGCAGCACAGUAAGAGCUUGCGCUGACGGGUGGGGAGUGGGGGAAGGGAGAGGAAUACAUCGGAAUCUACUCUUUGGUGUGGGAUAAGGUAGGGAAACUUACGCUAAUACCGCAUACGACCUACGGGGGAAAGCAGGGGAACUUCGGGCCUUGCGGGAUUGAAUGAGCCGAUGUCGGAUUAGUUGGUUGGCGGGGUAAAGGCCCACCCAGUAGAGGAUCCGUGGCUGGACUGGGGGGAGGAUCAGCGACCCUGGAACUUAGACGCGGUCCAGACGCCUACGGGACGCAGCAGUGUGGUAUAGUGGACAACAGGCGCAAGCCUGGUCCAGCGAUACCGCGUGUGUUAAGAAGGCCUUGCGGUUGUAAAGCCGGUCUGUGGGUUAAGAACAGCAUCAGGUUAAUACGCAGCUGGUGUGACGGUACCCAGAGAAUAAGCACCGGCUAACUUCGUG